RNAcentral lists this ribosomal RNA (563 nucleotides) under uncultured bacterium. Its description in RNAcentral is "partial 16S ribosomal RNA". It matches the Rfam family "Bacterial small subunit ribosomal RNA", at positions 355 to 1375 of the family's 1533-position model. The record is from RNAcentral.
UGGGGAAUAUUGCACAAUGGGCGAAAGCCUGAUGCAGCAACGCCGCGUGAGUGAUGAAGGCCUUCGGGUUGUAAAGCUCUGUCUUUUGGGACGAUAAUGACGGUACCAAAGGAGGAAGCCACGGCUAACUACGUGCCAGCAGCCGCGGUAAUACGUAGGUGGCAAGCGUUGUCCGGAUUUACUGGGCGUAAAGGAUGCGUAGGCGGAUUUUUAAGUGAGAUGUGAAAUACCCGGGCUUAACUUGGGUGCUGCAUUUCAAACUGGGAAUCUAGAGUGCGGGAGAGGAGAAUGGAAUUCCUAGUGUAGCGGUGAAAUGCGUAGAGAUUAGGAAGAACACCAGUGGCGAAGGCGAUUCUCUGGACCGUAACUGACGCUGAGGCAUGAAAGCGUGGGUAGCAAACAGGAUUAGAUACCCUGGUAGUCCACGCCGUAAACGAUGAGUACUAGGUGUAGGAGGUAUCGACCCCUUCUGUGCCGCAGUUAACACAAUAAGUACUCCGCCUGGGAAGUACGAUCGCAGGAUUAAAACUCAAAUGAAUUGACGGGGUCAUAGCUGUUUUCCU